Molecule: ribosomal RNA, 314 nt
Filed under: uncultured bacterium
Lineage: Bacteria
Description: partial 16S ribosomal RNA
Rfam family: Bacterial small subunit ribosomal RNA
Source: RNAcentral
GUAUAAGAGACAGCAGUAGCCACGGGAAUACAGAGGGUGCGAGCGUUAAUCGGAUUUACUGGGCGUAAAGCGUGCGUAGGCGGCUUUUUAAGUCGGAUGUGAAAUCCCUGAGCUUAACUUAGGAAUUGCAUUCGAUACUGGGAAGCUAGAGUAUGGGAGAGGAUGGUAGAAUUCCAGGUGUAGCGGUGAAAUGCGUAGAGAUCUGGAGGAAUACCGAUGGCGAAGGCAGCCAUCUGGCCUAAUACUGACGCUGAGGUACGAAAGCAUGGGGAGCAAACAGGAUUAGAUACCCGGGUAGUCCCUGUCUCUUAUAA